RNAcentral lists this unclassified non-coding RNA (1255 nucleotides) under Zea mays. Its description in RNAcentral is "misc RNA Zm00001eb345930". The record is from RNAcentral. Lineage: Eukaryota; Viridiplantae; Streptophyta; Magnoliopsida; Poales; Poaceae.
GCAGAGCUGCUGCUCGGCCAUGGGAGAAAAACAGCAGGGCCGGACGCCAUGGAAGCCGCAGGGGCACGGGUGCCAUGGCAAGCUUCGAGUAGGGGAAGAAGGGAGAGGGGCGCGGCCUGCACCCAUAAAGUUCCUGCUCCUACGACAAGGAACAGAGGGAGGAGGGAGCUACGCAGGAAGGGGCGCCGAGCAUAGGGAACUUCGGACGCCCUGGCUGCUGGCCUCACAGAGGCAUCGGUCUGCAACAGAGGGCGCGAGCCAGAGAAGGGCAAAGGUCCGGCCAUGGCUGCUUCUACCCCUGCGCAAGGGAGGCCAGGGAUGGACGCCAUGGGCAGGAGCUCGGCUGCAGGAGGCUGCUCGCCAUGGAGAGAGGGCGCAGGGGAAGGUGGAGCUGCUGCUGCGCGAGGAAGAAAACAGGGAGAAGAGAGAAUGGCGGCUGAAAAUUUUUGAGGGGUGGGAGUGCAAAAUAGCCAAGUGCAAGGAAGGAGCACUUCUAUUUAUAGACAUGGGUUAGGGUUAGGGUUUCUUUGUUGGCCAAAUGGGCUAGAAUGGGCUUGGCCAAAAAUGCUAAAUCGUGUCGCGCUAAAUUAUUUCUAGAGUAAAAAUGCUCCUGCGGAAUUCGUUGAGACAGAAAAACAAAGCGAAAUAGAGUUCGGACGAAUGAACGAUUGAGCGAUUAAUUUCAGCUGAGAGUCUGAUUUGGAUUCUCUCGGAAAUAAUUCCCUACACAUGGUCGAAAAUAAAUUGCCUCGGGAUACGACCGACUUUCGGAUUUUUAGUCAGAGAAGGUGAAUCGUUGCAUUUUAAAAUCGCUGUCGAUACGGGGUUUUGAAUUCGGUUCGGACGUGAGAUAUUUGGCCGAGUCGGAUAAAAUUGAUUAGAGGACGACAUAUUGAGUAUUCUGUUUGAGAGUACGGAUCCGAAUAAAAUAGUCGAACAUAGAUCAAGGUUCGAAAAAUUAGACUGAGGCUGAGGUCAAAUAACAGCCGUCGAGAGUUUGAUUUAAUGAGCUUCAGAUGAGAUUUAUAAUUCGAGAAUGAUUUUCGAGUUUGAAUUCAUUCCGAGAAAUAAAAGUUUUAACAAGCUCCAAAAUUGGUUCUUUCUCGCGAUCGAAUAAAAUCAGAAAUCGGUGAAACCUUCACAAGUAACUUGAUAAAUGGAGAUAAACGCGAUCGAGAAAUAGAAUUUUCACUGAGCAUUCAAGUUAGGGACAAAUCUCCCGACAUAACACGAAAUAGACACCUGGGGUGUCACA